RNAcentral lists this transfer RNA (76 nucleotides) under Acidobacteriota bacterium. RNAcentral's name for it is "tRNA-Met". It matches the Rfam family "tRNA". Rfam says of the family: Transfer RNA (tRNA) molecules are approximately 80 nucleotides in length. Their secondary structure includes four short double-helical elements and three loops (D, anti-codon, and T loops). Further hydrogen bonds mediate the characteristic L-shaped molecular structure. tRNAs have two regions of fundamental functional importance: the anti-codon, which is responsible for specific mRNA codon recognition, and the 3' end, to which the tRNAs corresponding amino acid is attached (by aminoacyl-tRNA synthetases). tRNAs cope with the degeneracy of the genetic code in two manners: having more than one tRNA (with a specific anti-codon) for a particular amino acid; and 'wobble' base-pairing, i.e. permitting non-standard base-pairing at the 3rd anti-codon position. The record is from RNAcentral. RNAcentral also lists the same sequence under 2 other names. Lineage: Bacteria; Pseudomonadati; Acidobacteriota.
GGCGGUGUAGCUCAGGGGUUAGAGCGAGCGACUCAUAAUCGCUAGGUCGGUGGUUCGAUCCCACCCACCGCCACCA